RNAcentral lists this long non-coding RNA (2861 nucleotides) under Sarcophilus harrisii (Tasmanian devil). Its description in RNAcentral is "lncRNA (ENSSHAG00000027895.1)". The record is from RNAcentral. Lineage: Eukaryota; Metazoa; Chordata; Mammalia; Dasyuromorphia; Dasyuridae.
CAAGGAAAAAAAAUAGGGCAAUUGAUCCAUCUCAAUAAUAAAGACAGUAAAGAAUUUAGACAAACCACAUCUUUUAAAAUGGAAACCAUUAAUACUUUCUUUCUAGGAUACAUCCUCCUUCACAAUCUAAUACACAAAAUACAUAAGGAGAGGCAGAUUAGGGUGAGUUAUCACAAUGUAAUGCAGGGUCUGAACAGCUCUUGGUUCAGGAAGUAAAAGAAAGCAAGGCAGUCAACUAAAAUAUAAUGCUAUAUAAUUAUGGAAGAGCACACAGCACAGGUGUCCUCUGUUUCCCGAAGGACUGAAAAUAGCAUGCUGGUCUUGUUUUGUUUGGGACUUAUGCACCUUCAUAACUGCACACUUAAUUUGAAAGAAAAAAGAAAGGAAAAAAGACGAAAACAGUUGUAAUAAACUCAGAAAUAAUGUACAAAGUUACAGUACCAAAGUAAUGCAUUUAUAAACAAAUGCAAAGAAUAUCCCUUUUGAUAAACAAUAAUGCCUUUUUCAGUCAAAUGCAUACCCAUGCUAUUCCACAACACUAUACAUAUUUUUAUCUACAACAAACAACAAGAUCUUAAAGCCCCACCCCACCCCCAAACAGAAAUUACAAGAAAAAAUUGGGGAAAAUAUAAUUGAAAGUGAACACAAAAUUUAAACAUAUGCACAUAUAUAUGUACAUAUAUAUUUCUGGAAAAAGAAAACCUUUAAAGUUUUAUAAAGCAGAGACAGAAAUACAUAAUGGAGACAAAGUUAUGAACUGUGUGCUAUUAUGAAAUUUUAUGAACUCAAAUAUUAUUAGUUAUAUGAAAAAAAUUUUCUUUACAAUUAAAAAAAUUAGAAUUAUUUUGACUAGCCUUUUAAUGAACAUUUACAUGGCCAAAUGAAAAACUUCAAUCUUCAAAGCUUCUGUAUGAGGAAAGAAUCCUCUUAUAAGCCAGUGUAACAAUGGAGCGAACAUUUCAGGAAUUCCAGAUCUUCUUGGAGAUAGAUACAUGCAAACACAUAUAUAUACACAUACAUAUAUGUGUGGUGUGUGUGUGUACAUAUGUGUGUGUGUGUGUGUGUCUGUGUGUGUUUGUGUAUUCCCCCUCCCCCCCCAUUCUACAACACUAUUUUUUAAUGGAAAUGAGGCAAAUAAGGAAUGGUGGUUUAUCUGCCUUUCAGGCAGGGAAGUAAGCUACACAGGAGACAAUUAGAAGGAGACUCCUGUGACAUCCUCUUUGGUUCAAGGUCCUGGAGAAUUUUUAGAAAAGAAACAAUUUUUCAAAUCAAUUCUUUCCUAGUGACAAAUUGUUUAAAGGGAUUACAUCUUAAAAACAAAAUGGAUGGAUUCCAUAGAUAGCUCAUUAACAGUCCUGGAGAAAGAUGUUUCUCUUGAAUAAACCUGUAUUUCAAAUCACCUAAGUAGAACCUUAAAACUGUACCACUUGAAACAAGAGACUCUGUUAAAACUGGAAGGGAUCUAUCUUCUUUUUACACUGAAAAAACUAAGUUCCAGAGAAGCCAAGCUAGAAAAGGAAUAAAGCCAGCAUCAGAAGCCAUUAGAAAUUGGCUCACAGUUUACUGCUCUUUGCAUCUUAUCACAAAACAAUAACACAAGUUUUGGCUUAUAGUUCAUUCAGUAGGACUACAAUUAACAAUAGUCUAAGUCAAGAAGAAUUAACCUGAAAAACAUUUUGGUUUAUAAUACAAUCAAAACUCAGAAAAAUGUUUACUUUAUUGUUCUCAGUAUCAUCAUGGCCCACAUGUAAGGUGUGUGUGUUUGCACAGAAAAUCUUAUUUUUCUUUGACAAUGUUAGAGUAAAAUAAACUCAAAAUUGGUUCCUAGGUCAAAUAUAUGCACUUUCUUCCAUUAUAUUUUUCUCUUAUAAUACUAAUAAUUUUUUUUUUAAUUUAGAGCUCCCAUUAGGAAUUUUCACGUGUGUGUGUAUGUAUUUAUGUAUACUGUAUAUACACACAUAUAAACUUCUUAACAAUAAAGUAAUUAGGUCUCUGAUAAAAAUAAUUCUUUUAUGAGUAAAAGGAUCACUGUUAAUCUAAAAACACCCUAGGGUUGAGCUACUAUAGACAUAAAUUUAUGCUCUAUUUUGGUACCAGGUUAUUCUGCCCCUACACUUCAUAGAGCAAAUGAUAAGUGGUAAAUGUUAGGUGCAUAUUGUUUGGUACCUAGACACUGAACUGCAGAGGUCCCAAAUGAGAAUAAAGCACUAAAAAGUACACAAAGUGAUUUGGGGGCAGAACAUAUUUGUCUUUUGGGGAGCAGACUGAGAAUUUGCUAAAAAGCUAAUUAUCUUUGAAACAUAAUUUACAUACUUAUCUGACAUAAAAGAUUCCAAAUAAUUCUCUUGUGUAUUGACCUUCAUUUAGAAAGGCUUUUAUUACAUAAUCCAUAUAUUAUCUUUUUAUGUCACAUUUCAAAAAUUAAACAGCGUUUUUAAAAAUCUGAAGCAAAUUACUUAAAAUUCUCUUCUUACUGAUAUUCCCACUUUCUCAUUUUUACCCACUCAUAAUAUUCUAUUUUUAUUUAAAAAGAAAAUUCAGCACAAAAGGAAAACAUCUAGGUAAAUUACAUCAUCACAUGGAGACCAUAGUUUUAAUGGAUCAUAUUCAAAGAUAUUGUUGUUGUUUUUUAACUGCCAAAUUAAUAACAUUUCUUUCCUUAAAUUAUAAAAAGUUGCAAAUUGUCCAGCAAAAACAAAAUCUUUCUAUACACAUUCUGCAAUUCUUGCAGCAAAAUGUACUGCUAUCAAAUAAUUAGUUACAAGGAUGCUCUUUUUAUAUAAAUAAGAAAGUGGGUAUAACUCACCAGUACAUAGUAAUAAAAUAAUCCCUAAAAACAUUUAUUCCAUUAAGCAAGAUAA